GUGGGGAAUAUUGGACAAUGGGGGAAACCCUGAUCCAGCAAUGCCGCGUGAGUGAUGAAGGCCUUCGGGUUGUAAAGCUCUUUUAUCAGGGAAGAUAAUGACGGUACCUGAUGAAUAAGCUCCGGCUAACUUCGUGCCAGCAGCCGCGGUAAUACGAAGGGAGCUAGCGUUGUUCGGAAUUACUGGGCGUAAAGGGCGCGUAGGCGGCCUUGUAAGUUAGAUGUGAAAGCCCCGGGCUUAACCUGGGAACUGCAUUUAAGACUGCAAAGCUAGAGGACGAGAGAGGAAAGUGGAAUUAUGAGUGUAGAGGUGAAAUUCGUAGAUAUUCAUAAGAACACCAGUGGCGAAGGCGACUUUCUGGCUCGUAUCUGACGCUAAGGCGCGAAAGCGUGGGGAGCAAACAGGAUUAGAAACCCUGGUAGUCC
Molecule: ribosomal RNA, 425 nt
Filed under: uncultured bacterium
Lineage: Bacteria
Description: bacterial SSU rRNA
Rfam family: Bacterial small subunit ribosomal RNA
Source: RNAcentral